CCUAGUAGCGGCGAGCGAAGCGGGAAGAGCUCAAAUUUAUAAUCUGGCACCUUCGGUGUCCGAGUUGUAAUCUCUAGAAAUGUUUUCCGCGUUGGACCGCACACAAGUCUGUUGGAAUACAGCGGCAUAGUGGUGAGACCCCCGUAUAUGGUGCGGACGCCCAGCGCUUUGUGAUACAUUUUCGAAGAGUCGAGUUGUUUGGGAAUGCAGCUCAAAUUGGGUGGUAAAUUCCAUCUAAAGCUAAAUAUUGGCGAGAGACCGAUAGCGAACAAGUACCGUGAGGGAAAGAUGAAAAGCACUUUGGAAAGAGAGUUAACAGUACGUGAAAUUGUUGGAAGGGAAACGCUUGAAGUCAGACUUGCUUGCCGAGCAAUCGGUUUGCAGGCCAGCAUCAGUUUUCCGGGAUGGAUAAUGGUAGAGAGAAGGUAGCAGUUUCGGCUGUGUUAUAGCUCUCUGCUGGAUACAUCUUGGGGGACUGAGGAACGCAGUGUGCCUUUUGGCGGGGGUUUCGACCUCUUCACACUUAGGAUGCUGGUGGAAUGGCUUUAAACGACCCGUCUUGAAACACG
This 569-nucleotide ribosomal RNA is filed under the name Rhodotorula mucilaginosa. RNAcentral's name for it is "partial large subunit ribosomal RNA". It matches the Rfam family "Eukaryotic large subunit ribosomal RNA", at positions 79 to 663 of the family's 3401-position model. Lineage: Eukaryota; Fungi; Basidiomycota; Microbotryomycetes; Sporidiobolales; Sporidiobolaceae. The record is from RNAcentral.